GUAACUUUCUUUUGCGUCUGUAUGAAACAUAGUUGUCGAUAGCGAAUAGCGACAAGGCAUGGCUAGGCUACGUAGCGAAUAGCGACGGCUAUUUUAUAAAUAGCGAUUACACUAGAAAAAGAUUUUUGAAAAUUUUUAUAUGUAUAUUACAUCAAAUUACCCUUGUAUAUAUGUUAUUUUACAUGUAUAUUUAACAAAAACUAAUAGUUAGUAGCAAAGGACUUAUAUGUUGGGUGUGUGAAUGAAAGUCUCAAAAGGUGGUAAAUACUUUGUCCCACAUCGGUGUGUUAACAAAGUUAGUGGUUGUUUAUAAGGUAAAGUCUUUACUACUCCAUUGUAGCUUUAUGACAUGUUUUACCACAAGUCCUACCCGCGCGCAGGGGUGGUGCAAAAAAUGAGUUUCUGAAUUGAAAUUUAACUGAACUCGUGCAUGCCCACACGAAUGCAGCUCCGAAAACCCCAGGCUCGCGUGGGCCAGUUUUUGCACAAUUUAACCUCUUUAUUUAUUUAUUUUUUGUAUUAAAGCCAAGGCCGUCAUCGCCAUUAACAGCUUAGCGACACUUGGACGCUUCGCCAUAAAGCGCGCUAUAGCGACUGCUAUGGUCGCAAUUAACAACUAUGGUCGUGGACACGCUUGGACCUAGCUUAUGGGACGUAUGGAAUUCUUUUGGGCAAUUGUGAGUCCUUAAGGUAGAACCGUUAAAAUCUCUCUCUCUCUCUCUCUCUCUCUCUCUCUUUCUUAUGUUAGUUGGUUUUAGUCCUUGCUCCUUUAUUUUGCUUUGACCUGGGUAUUUUGUUUGUCGACUCACAAAAUUAUGCAUAUUAAAAUGACAAAUUAACUUUAAAAUGGUUGGAUAGCAUCAACAUAGAUUCCCAAGACUGCAAGGUUAGAUUGAUAAUUUUAUUAUUAAUCUAUUAAAAGUUAUAUGUUCGAGUUCCUGCUUCUAAGUCUGCAGUGUAUUACUUACUACUUCCCAGGGAUUCUUUGUGCAGAAAGACUACAAAAUGUUUCCACCUUCAGUAAAUUUGGAUAAUAUUGAUUGGUCUACAACGAGGCUGCAAAUCGAUUUCCCUGUCCUGGUGGGCGUUACUAUGAAGGUUAGCACUAUUCAACUGGUCCCUUAGAAAUGUUGUUUUUGACACAAGUGGAUCCUAAAUUGGAACAAUAGCAAAGAUCUCAUCAUUUCUUUGUAAUUAUUUAAUGAUAUGAGUAUUCUACUACUCUAUAAUAAGUGGGAGUGAGGUUAGCAAAACAAGAUGGUGAUGGCGAUGGUCACUGGCGGAUACCACAUAUAGUAAAUUAUUAUUUUACAGUAAUAUUUUUUACUGUUCUAUGAAGUUGUUUUAAAUUUACAUUCUAAUAUUAUUAACAUUUUCAUUUUAUUAUGUAAUAAUGGCUCUCUAAACACAUCGUGUGAUUAAGUUAAUGAAAAGUUUGCAAGUCUUCUUAUAGCGAAGACAUUAAUA
This is an RNA transcript of Helianthus annuus (common sunflower), 1467 nucleotides long. It is a transcript of the gene named sulfite oxidase, with no coding region annotated. The record is from RefSeq and is a predicted model, not a curated record. The transcript has 3 exons. NCBI's taxonomy places the organism in Eukaryota, Viridiplantae, Streptophyta, Magnoliopsida, Asterales, Asteraceae.